RNAcentral lists this ribosomal RNA (245 nucleotides) under uncultured bacterium. Its description in RNAcentral is "partial 16S ribosomal RNA". It matches the Rfam family "Bacterial small subunit ribosomal RNA", at positions 532 to 776 of the family's 1533-position model. The record is from RNAcentral.
GUGCGAGCGUUAAUCGGAAUUACUGGGCGUAAAGCGUGCGCAGGCGGUUAUGUAAGACAGAUGUGAAAUGCCCGGGCUUAACCUGGGAACUGCAUUUGUGACUGCAUGGCUAGAGUUUGGCAGAGGGGGGUAGAAUUCCACGUGUAGCAGUGAAAUGCGUAGAUAUGUGGAGGAACACCGAUGGCGAAGGCAGCCCCCUGGGUCAAGACUGACGCUCAUGCACGAAAGCGUGGGGAGCAAACAGG